Molecule: ribosomal RNA, 2786 nt
Filed under: Escherichia coli
Lineage: Bacteria; Pseudomonadati; Pseudomonadota; Gammaproteobacteria; Enterobacterales; Enterobacteriaceae
Description: bacterial LSU rRNA
Rfam family: Bacterial large subunit ribosomal RNA
Source: RNAcentral
AGCGUACACGGUGGAUGCCCUGGCAGUCAGAGGCGAUGAAGGACGUGCUAAUCUGCGAUAAGCGUCGGUAAGGUGAUAUGAACCGUUAUAACCGGCGAUUUCCGAAUGGGGAAACCCAGUGUGAUUCGUCACACUAUCAUUAACUGAAUCCAUAGGUUAAUGAGGCGAACCGGGGGAACUGAAACAUCUAAGUACCCCGAGGAAAAGAAAUCAACCGAGAUUCCCCCAGUAGCGGCGAGCGAACGGGGAGCAGCCCAGAGCCUGAAUCAGUGUGUGUGUUAGUGGAAGCGUCUGGAAAGGCGCGCGAUACAGGGUGACAGCCCCGUACACAAAAAUGCACAUGCUGUGAGCUCGAUGAGUAGGGCGGGACACGUGGUAUCCUGUCUGAAUAUGGGGGGACCAUCCUCCAAGGCUAAAUACUCCUGACUGACCGAUAGUGAACCAGUACCGUGAGGGAAAGGCGAAAAGAACCCCGGCGAGGGGAGUGAAAAAGAACCUGAAACCGUGUACGUACAAGCAGUGGGAGCCUCUUUAUGGGGUGACUGCGUACCUUUUGUAUAAUGGGUCAGCGACUUAUAUUCUGUAGCAAGGUUAACCGAAUAGGGGAGCCGAAGGGAAACCGAGUCUUAACUGGGCGUUAAGUUGCAGGGUAUAGACCCGAAACCCGGUGAUCUAGCCAUGGGCAGGUUGAAGGUUGGGUAACACUAACUGGAGGACCGAACCGACUAAUGUUGAAAAAUUAGCGGAUGACUUGUGGCUGGGGGUGAAAGGCCAAUCAAACCGGGAGAUAGCUGGUUCUCCCCGAAAGCUAUUUAGGUAGCGCCUCGUGAAUUCAUCUCCGGGGGUAGAGCACUGUUUCGGCAAGGGGGUCAUCCCGACUUACCAACCCGAUGCAAACUGCGAAUACCGGAGAAUGUUAUCACGGGAGACACACGGCGGGUGCUAACGUCCGUCGUGAAGAGGGAAACAACCCAGACCGCCAGCUAAGGUCCCAAAGUCAUGGUUAAGUGGGAAACGAUGUGGGAAGGCCCAGACAGCCAGGAUGUUGGCUUAGAAGCAGCCAUCAUUUAAAGAAAGCGUAAUAGCUCACUGGUCGAGUCGGCCUGCGCGGAAGAUGUAACGGGGCUAAACCAUGCACCGAAGCUGCGGCAGCGACGCUUAUGCGUUGUUGGGUAGGGGAGCGUUCUGUAAGCCUGUGAAGGUGUGCUGUGAGGCAUGCUGGAGGUAUCAGAAGUGCGAAUGCUGACAUAAGUAACGAUAAAGCGGGUGAAAAGCCCGCUCGCCGGAAGACCAAGGGUUCCUGUCCAACGUUAAUCGGGGCAGGGUGAGUCGACCCCUAAGGCGAGGCCGAAAGGCGUAGUCGAUGGGAAACAGGUUAAUAUUCCUGUACUUGGUGUUACUGCGAAGGGGGGACGGAGAAGGCUAUGUUGGCCGGGCGACGGUUGUCCCGGUUUAAGCGUGUAGGCUGGUUUUCCAGGCAAAUCCGGAAAAUCAAGGCUGAGGCGUGAUGACGAGGCACUACGGUGCUGAAGCAACAAAUGCCCUGCUUCCAGGAAAAGCCUCUAAGCAUCAGGUAACAUCAAAUCGUACCCCAAACCGACACAGGUGGUCAGGUAGAGAAUACCAAGGCGCUUGAGAGAACUCGGGUGAAGGAACUAGGCAAAAUGGUGCCGUAACUUCGGGAGAAGGCACGCUGAUAUGUAGGUGAAGUCCCUCGCGGAUGGAGCUGAAAUCAGUCGAAGAUACCAGCUGGCUGCAACUGUUUAUUAAAAACACAGCACUGUGCAAACACGAAAGUGGACGUAUACGGUGUGACGCCUGCCCGGUGCCGGAAGGUUAAUUGAUGGGGUCAGCGCAAGCGAAGCUCUUGAUCGAAGCCCCGGUAAACGGCGGCCGUAACUAUAACGGUCCUAAGGUAGCGAAAUUCCUUGUCGGGUAAGUUCCGACCUGCACGAAUGGCGUAAUGAUGGCCAGGCUGUCUCCACCCGAGACUCAGUGAAAUUGAACUCGCUGUGAAGAUGCAGUGUACCCGCGGCAAGACGGAAAGACCCCGUGAACCUUUACUAUAGCUUGACACUGAACAUUGAGCCUUGAUGUGUAGGAUAGGUGGGAGGCUUAGAAGUGUGGACGCCAGUCUGCAUGGAGCCGACCUUGAAAUACCACCCUUUAAUGUUUGAUGUUCUAACGUUGACCCGUAAUCCGGGUUGCGGACAGUGUCUGGUGGGUAGUUUGACUGGGGCGGUCUCCUCCUAAAGAGUAACGGAGGAGCACGAAGGUUGGCUAAUCCUGGUCGGACAUCAGGAGGUUAGUGCAAUGGCAUAAGCCAGCUUGACUGCGAGCGUGACGGCGCGAGCAGGUGCGAAAGCAGGUCAUAGUGAUCCGGUGGUUCUGAAUGGAAGGGCCAUCGCUCAACGGAUAAAAGGUACUCCGGGGAUAACAGGCUGAUACCGCCCAAGAGUUCAUAUCGACGGCGGUGUUUGGCACCUCGAUGUCGGCUCAUCACAUCCUGGGGCUGAAGUAGGUCCCAAGGGUAUGGCUGUUCGCCAUUUAAAGUGGUACGCGAGCUGGGUUUAGAACGUCGUGAGACAGUUCGGUCCCUAUCUGCCGUGGGCGCUGGAGAACUGAGGGGGGCUGCUCCUAGUACGAGAGGACCGGAGUGGACGCAUCACUGGUGUUCGGGUUGUCAUGCCAAUGGCACUGCCCGGUAGCUAAAUGCGGAAGAGAUAAGUGCUGAAAGCAUCUAAGCACGAAACUUGCCCCGAGAUGAGUUCUCCCUGACUCCUUGA